GAGGAAAGCGGGAGGCGUGCUUAACACAUGCAAGUCGAACGGAAAGGCCCUGCGUUUGUGGGGUGCUCGAGUGGCGAACGGGUGAGUAACACGUGAGUAACCUGCCCUUGACUUUGGGAUAACUUCAGGAAACUGGGGCUAAUAUCGGAUAGGAGCUCCUGCUGCAUGGUGGGGGUUGGAAAGUUUCGGCGGUUGGGGAUGGACUCGCGGCUUAUCAGCUUGUUGGUGGGGUAGUGGCUUACCAAGGCUUUGACGGGUAGCCGGCCUGAGAGGGUGACCGGCCACAUUGGGACUGAGAGACGGACCAGACUCCUACGUGAGGCAGCAGUGGGGAGUAUGACACAACGAGCGGGAGCCUGAGACAGCAGCGCCCCGUGCGGGAUGACGUCCUUCGGGGUAUAAACCGCUUUCGCCUGUGACGAAGCGUGAGUGACGGUAAUGGGUAAAGAAGCACCGGCUAACUACGUG
Molecule: ribosomal RNA, 468 nt
Filed under: uncultured bacterium
Lineage: Bacteria
Description: partial 16S ribosomal RNA
Rfam family: Bacterial small subunit ribosomal RNA
Source: RNAcentral